GGGCGAUUAGCUCAGCUGGUUAGAGCAUCUGCUUUACACGCAGAGGGUCUGAGGUUCGAAUCCUCAAUCGCCCA
RNAcentral lists this transfer RNA (74 nucleotides) under Candidatus Omnitrophota bacterium. RNAcentral's name for it is "Candidatus Omnitrophica bacterium (groundwater metagenome) tRNA-Val". It matches the Rfam family "tRNA". From Rfam's summary of the family: Transfer RNA (tRNA) molecules are approximately 80 nucleotides in length. Lineage: Bacteria; Pseudomonadati; Candidatus Omnitrophota. The record is from RNAcentral.